Molecule: long non-coding RNA, 766 nt
Filed under: Felis catus (domestic cat)
Lineage: Eukaryota; Metazoa; Chordata; Mammalia; Carnivora; Felidae
Description: lncRNA (ENSFCAG00000043653.2)
Source: RNAcentral
CUUGUUUACACCAAUGUUCUGCUGGCAGUUUGUAAAUCAUUCUCUCCAGCAGGCUCUGACACAGAUUUGAAGUUUGUUUCUGUUUUAUAGGAGUUGGGUUCAUCUCUAGCUAUGCUAGAGGGUUAGAAAAAUUAGAUGAAUGAGCCAGGGGAGACCUCUUCCCUGCACACUUCCGCAUCAUGAAUGAUCGUCACAAUUGACAGGGAUUGUGGAGACUGCAUUUAGCUCCAGGAGCUAGAAACAUAAAUUAAACAGACCCUGCCCUCAAGGGACUUCAAGUCUAAUAGGAGAGGUGGACAAAUGCCUAUCGUUUAUACUCAUGGAAAGCCAGGAAAAAAAGGAAGAAGAAGAAGAAGAGAAAGAAUUUGAUAUCUAACUGACAUAAUAAACUGCAUGCAUUUGAAGUAUGAAGUUUGAUAUGUUUUGAAAUACAUAUAUACCUGUGAAAUCAUAACGACAGUCAAGAGGGUGUAUAUAUUCGUCACUUUCAAAAGUCUUCUACUGCCUUUCCCUGAGUCCUCCAAAGCAACUAUAGGGAUCAAGACAGGAAGGGGAAUAGUGGUUCAAGAUAAAAGACCUGGAGUAUAUAGUGCUACCACUAAGGAACCUCUGUGCUGACCCAGCAGUACUCAGUGUGAGAACUUGUCUGCCCUCCUCAGCACAUCAGCCCUAAUGAUGCUGAAGUCCAUGAAAGAUAAUUGCCUUGAGUCAUUCUCUAGCCACAGAGAAGGUAAGAUUAAUAAAGAACAUUUGUUAUAAUUUUGCA